UACGUAGGGUGCGAGCGUUGUCCGGAAUUACUGGGCGUAAAGAGCUCGUAGGUGGUUUGUCGCGUUGUUCGUGAAAUCUCACGGCUUAACUGUGAGCGUGCGGGCGAUACGGGCAGACUAGAGUACUGCAGGGGAGACUGGAAUUCCUGGUGUAGCGGUGGAAUGCGCAGAUAUCAGGAGGAACACCGGUGGCGAAGGCGGGUCUCUGGGCAGUAACUGACGCUGAGGAGCGAAAGCGUGGGGAGCGAACAGGAUUAGAUACCCUGGUAGUCCACGCCGUAAACGGUGGGUACUAGGUGUGGGUUUCCUUCCUUGGGAUCCGUGCCGUAGCUAACGCAUUAAGUACCCCGCCUGGGGAGUACGGCCCGCAAGGCUAAAACUC
Molecule: ribosomal RNA, 382 nt
Filed under: uncultured Mycobacterium sp.
Lineage: Bacteria; Bacillati; Actinomycetota; Actinomycetes; Mycobacteriales; Mycobacteriaceae
Description: bacterial SSU rRNA
Rfam family: Bacterial small subunit ribosomal RNA
Source: RNAcentral